UUCUCGGGCUGAGCGACCGGUCCGCCGCUAUGCGGUGUGUACUCGGGUGCGUCUCGGCUCAUCCUUGCAGGGAACGGCAUUCGGCCUUAAUUGGUCGAGGUCGGGAAUUGCAUCGUUUACUGUGAAAAAAUUAGAGUGUUUAAAGCAGGCUUAUGCUGUGAAUACAUUAGCAUGGAAUAAUAAGAUAGGACUUUGGUUCUAUUUUGUUGGUUGGAGGCCAAGGUAAUGAUUAAUAGGGAUAGUUGGGGGUAUUCAUAUUUAAUUGUCAGAGUUGAAAUUCUUGGAUUUAUGAAAGAUGAACUUAUGCGAAAGCAUUUACCAAGGAUGUUUUCAUUAAUCAAGAACGAAAGUUAGGGGAUCGAAGAGGAUUAGAUACCCUCGUAGUCUUAACCAUAAACUAUGCCGACUAGG
RNAcentral lists this ribosomal RNA (411 nucleotides) under uncultured eukaryote. RNAcentral describes it as "SSU rRNA". It matches the Rfam family "Eukaryotic small subunit ribosomal RNA", at positions 638 to 1050 of the family's 1831-position model. The record is from RNAcentral.